UGGGGAAUAUUGCACAAUGGGGGAAACCCUGAUGCAGCGACGCCGCGUGAACGAAGAAGGUAUUCGUAUCGUAAAGUUCUGUCCUAUGGGAAGAUAAUGACAGUACCAUAGAAGAAAGCUCCGGCUAAAUACGUGCCAGCAGCCGCGGUAAUACGUAUGGAGCGAGCGUUGUCCGGAAUUAUUGGGCGUAAAGGGUACGCAGGCGGUUUAAUAAGUCGAAUGUUAAAGAUCGGGGCUCAACCCCGUAAAGCAUUGGAAACUGAUAAACUUGAGUAGUGGAGAGGAAAGUGGAAUUCCUAGUGUAGUGGUGAAAUACGUAGAUAUUAGGAGGAACACCAGUGGCGAAGGCGACUCUCUGGUCUGUAACUGACGCUGAGGCUCGAAAGCGUGGGUAGCAAACAGG
RNAcentral lists this ribosomal RNA (403 nucleotides) under Bacteroidota bacterium. RNAcentral describes it as "Bacteroidetes bacterium partial 16S ribosomal RNA". It matches the Rfam family "Bacterial small subunit ribosomal RNA", at positions 355 to 776 of the family's 1533-position model. Lineage: Bacteria; Pseudomonadati; Bacteroidota. The record is from RNAcentral.